GUCUCCGUAGCGUAGCGUAGCGGUAGCGUUACUGCCUACCACGCAGGGGGCCCGGGUUCGAUUCCCGGCAGGGGACU
Schistocerca gregaria is the source of this 77-nucleotide non-coding RNA. Lineage: Eukaryota; Metazoa; Arthropoda; Insecta; Orthoptera; Acrididae. The record is from the annotation of a RefSeq genome assembly.